This is a non-coding RNA of Microcebus murinus (gray mouse lemur), 991 nucleotides long. The record is from RefSeq and is a predicted model, not a curated record. NCBI's taxonomy places the organism in Eukaryota, Metazoa, Chordata, Mammalia, Primates, Cheirogaleidae.
UGAGCUUCGGAAAGAUUUUUAGGUGGAGAUAAUGUCAAAGCCUGGUGUUACAAGCAGGCAGCGGGUGGGUGAAUAUGAAAAGGAGAAAGUAUGAGAUAGUAGUGGAGUGAGACAGAACAGAUUCAGGAGCCAGCAUUUGUGAAGGGAAUGGAAGAUCACAUGAGGAGGCACAGAUUUAACUAGAGACUCAGAAAUCUAAAAUUGAAGAACAAAGCGUGAAGGCUCGAAUGGGGAAUGGAACAGCAGUAAUCAGUGGUAAUCAGCACAGGUAUCAAGUGGCUCAGAAAAACUGACACGAAGGUUUUCCUGCCAUUUCAAACAAAUGCUCUGUACCAGUUUGUAUUCCCACCACCAAGGAAUGAAAGUUCCUUUUGCUUCGCAUCCUCUGUCAGCAUUUGGUGAUGUCCGUGCUUUGGAUUGUGGCCAAAUAGGCUCAUGUGAUCCCACUGGGCUCAUCUGGAUAACACAGGAUAAUCUUCCUACUCUAAGGUGAGUGUGUGCUUAAUUUCAUAUGCAAAGUGCCUUCACCUAAGUUAGUGUUCGACUGAAUAGCCUGAGGAUGAGAGUUCACAUUGAGCGGCUCUUCCGAAUCUGCCUACCACGAGAAGCCUUUAUCUACCUCUCCAGCCUCCUGUGUGGUCACAUAACUCAGCAAAUGUGAGUAAAACAGGACAUGUUUGUAUUUGAAGUUGAUCAAGUUUCCCCACCCCUUUAUUUUUCCUUCAGUCGCAUUUGACUUCUAAAAUUUGUGAGUUUUCCUAUCACUCCCCUGGGGGUUUUCAAGACCAAGCCUAAUUCCUAGGCCAUGCCCAUGAUUGGCAAGUGGCCCUGGGUGAAGAAACAGAAACAAUUCACUCACAGCUCAUCUGGGAAGGGCUCUCCACGCUCUGGAAUUGUAUUUCAUCUAGCUUUGGCUGGCUUACGGGAUGGAUUUCAUUGAUUCCAUAACUAUCUGAUGCGUAUAACGUUAGAUAAUUUAUGUAAGUUAUCU